GUCGGCCACCGCCAGCAGCGUUGCGAUCG
This 29-nucleotide non-coding RNA is filed under the name Rhodella violacea. Lineage: Eukaryota; Rhodophyta; Rhodellophyceae; Rhodellales; Rhodellaceae. The record is from RNAcentral.